Non-coding RNA from Nannospalax galili (Upper Galilee mountains blind mole rat), 660 nucleotides. The record is from the annotation of a RefSeq genome assembly. Lineage: Eukaryota; Metazoa; Chordata; Mammalia; Rodentia; Spalacidae.
UCCAGUGAAGGUCUUCAUCAUCUAUUCAUUUCUCAUGCUUGCAAUUGGCUGACUUUUUAGCAGAGACAAGUGGCAAAAAUCAAAAACCUUCCAGAUUCAUCGAGCAUCUUCUAUGCGUCUAUCUGAGCAAGAGACUUGUCCAGCUGAACUUACUCCACAUCUCCCAUUGUCACGCUCUUGCUUCCUUCAGCCCCUUUCCUGCCUGUUCCGGGAAGACCUUCCACAACAGAGCCCGCAGCCUUUCCAGCUCUCAGCCAUGCACCUGCUGCUCCUCCCUGUGCUGGGGAUGCAUUUUAUGCUGCGAGACGCCGGAGCCCAGUCAGUGACUCAGCCUGAUGCCCAUGUCACUGUCUCUGAAGCAGCAGCUCUGGAGUUGAGAUGCACCUAUUCCUAUGGUGGAACACCGUAUCUCUUCUGGUACGUCCAGUAUCCCAGCCAGAGCCCCCAGCUUCUCCUUAAGUACUUUUCAGGAGACUCCUUGGUUCAAGGCGUGAAAGGCUUUCAGGCUGAGUUUAAGAAGACCAACUCUUCCUUCCACCUGAGGAAAGCCUCUGUGCAUUGGAGCGACUCUGCUAUGUACUUCUGUGCUUUGAGUGACACAGUGUCUGAGGCUGCAGGGGGAGCUGAACACAAACACCCAUGACGGUUGAGUUCUCAGAC